AUUGAACGCUGGCGGCAGGCCUAACACAUGCAAGUCGAGCGGGGUUUUCGGACCUAGCGGCGGACGGGUGAGUAAUGCGUAGGAAGCUGCCCGAUAGAGGGGGAUACCAGUUGGAAACGACUGUUAAUACCGCAUAAUGUCUACGGACCAAAGUGUGGGACCUUCGGGCCACAUGCUAUCGGAUGCGCCUACGUGGGAUUAGCUAGUUGGUGGGGUAAUGGCUCACCAAGGCGACGAUCUCUAGCUGGUUUGAGAGGAUGAUCAGCCACACUGGAAGUGAAAAGCGGUCCAGACUGCAAGGGGAGGCAGCAGUGGGGAAUAUUGACCAAUGGGCGCAAGCCUAGCUCGGGCAUGCCACGUGUGUGAAGAAGGCCUUCGGGUUGUAAAGCACUUUCAGCGGGGAGGAAGGGUGGUGUGUUAAUAGCACAUCAUUUUGACGUUACACGCAGAAGAAGCACCGGCUAACUCUGUGCCAGCAGCCGCCGUAA
Molecule: ribosomal RNA, 488 nt
Filed under: uncultured bacterium
Lineage: Bacteria
Description: partial 16S ribosomal RNA
Rfam family: Bacterial small subunit ribosomal RNA
Source: RNAcentral